Molecule: non-coding RNA, 108 nt
Organism: Hypoxylon sp. CI-4A
Lineage: Eukaryota; Fungi; Ascomycota; Sordariomycetes; Xylariales; Hypoxylaceae
Source: the annotation of a GenBank genome assembly
GCCAGUUUGGCCGAGUGGUUUAAGGCGGUGGUUUUAAGUCAAAGUGGGGUCCCACGAUCUUGAACACCAUUAUCGAGAGAUGCGCAGGUUCGAACCCUGCAGCUGGCA